Episyrphus balteatus (marmalade hoverfly) is the source of this 1560-nucleotide long non-coding RNA. RefSeq lists it as uncharacterized. The transcript has 3 exons. The record is from RefSeq and is a predicted model, not a curated record. Lineage: Eukaryota; Metazoa; Arthropoda; Insecta; Diptera; Syrphidae.
ACAAUUUUUUACUAUGCUUAAUUACUUUGCUCAUCUAGAACGUGAGUAAUGUAAUUAGGCGGUCGGCAUUUCAGCAUUCAGCAAGUGCUGAAUACAAACAGGUUUUGACGUUUUGUUUGAAGCUUAAUUUGGCAUGUCGUUGCAUGUUCAUUUUUUUGUUUGAAUAUUUCAAUUGCAAAAUUUAACUUCUGUGAACCGAGUUGAAAUUUCAAUUUAAUUUGUGUUUUGUGUUUGAAGAGAUCGGAUGGUUUCUUUAAUAUAAUUUGAAGAAAAAGAUAUAUACAUAAAUUAAAGUGUUUGUAUUAUUUUCUUAGGUCUACAAAUACUUAAGAAAUUGUGUAAAUUAGUUAAAAUAAAAACAAUUUACUACACCGGUUGUGCAUCGUUUGGAUGCAAAAAAAAUAAUAAGUUAACGAUUUUUUUUAAUUUUUCAAUUUAAAAACACGAACAAAAUAUUUAAAAAAUUUUGUUAAAAACUUGAACAAAAAAUUUUUAAAUAUAAUGGUGCCGGUAAUCUACAGAAAAUUAUUCAAAAUUGCAAUUUCUCGAACUAAAUCAUGUUUUCCAAAAGAAUAUCCUUUAAAACAGAAUUUGCAAUACAUUGGCCAAGAAUUUUAUUCAAAAAGCUGAUGAAUUUCGAAUAAUAAUUAUUGUUUUUGGCACGAUGCAUAUUAUUUCGAUUAAAAAAUUCAACGAUCGAUUUUGCAAAAAAUUCAUGCAAUGCAAUGCCUUUGAAGGUCCAUUCCAAAAAUACAGAUAUAUAAAAAGGAGCGAUCGCUAAUAAAACUCCUGCAGAACAGGUUUCGCCGGUUAGUCUUGAAAAUACCAAUUUACUUAAAAAAACGAACGUUAAUUCAUUAAUUUAUGAUUGCAAUUCAAUAAAAUUGUCUAUCCAAAUAAAACGCGGGAUUUCCAUAUAGAAAUCAAAUCAACCUGGAUGUUGGCAGGAUAAAAGGUUACAUCUUCAAACCACACAUUAAGAAAUAUAAUUUCAUCUUCUGGCCGACCAGGCGGCUAUGGUGAUGUUAUGAAUGGAAAACAAUUCUAUUGAAAAUUAUGUGAACAAAAUCAUUUGAAAAUUGAAAUUGAAAUCUUCAAAGCGACAACAGACAAACAAUUAAAAUCUUCAAAGCAGACAUACAGAAAUAUAAUUCAUCAUUCGACGACAUUUCGAAGAAUGUGAAGCACUUCAAUCGAUGAUUCUAUGAUCUUGAAUUACAAAAAACAAAAUACCCGGAUACAUACCUCAUUGAAAAAAUACUUAAAAAGAAAAAAGAUCAAUAUUACGUCAAAUGGCUUGGUUUCUCAUCUGAACAUAAUUCGUGGAUAACUCUACCAUAAGACAACUUAUUAGCUGUGUUUAUUUUUAGCAUUGCUAUCCGUAUCCUUAGUUGGCGUUUUCAUACAUUACACAUAUUUCUGAAAAUAAUAAAUGGCAGUUUUAAAUUGAACUGGAAGAGUCUACAAAACCUAAAGGAACCAUGGAGAAGGAAGACGUUGUUGAUGAAAAGAAAGUCGAAAAAAUAAAAAAAAAAAAAACCCAAGCGAAAAUGAAAAACA